RNAcentral lists this ribosomal RNA (897 nucleotides) under uncultured bacterium. Its description in RNAcentral is "bacterial SSU rRNA". It matches the Rfam family "Bacterial small subunit ribosomal RNA", at positions 41 to 901 of the family's 1533-position model. The record is from RNAcentral.
GGCGCACAUAAGACAUGCAACUCGAACGGAAGUCGUUAUGAUGAUUUCAAUAUGGACAGAGAACUUGUUCGAAGAAAAUGGAGACUGACUUAUAACAAUGGCUUUAGUGGCGGACUGGUGAGUAACACGUGAGCAACCUGCCUAUCAGAGGGGAAUAACAGUGAGAAAUCAUUGCUAAUACCGCAUAUGCCAUAAAUAUCACAUGACGAAAGUGGGAAAGGAGUAAUCCGCUGAUAGAUGGGCUCGCGUCUGAUUAGAUAGUUGGUGGGGUAACGGCCUACCAAGUCGACGAUCAGUAGCCGGACUGAGAGGUUGAACGGCCACAUUGGGACUGAGAUACGGCCCAGACUCCUACGGGAGGCAGCAGUCGGGAAUAUUGCGCAAUGGAGGAAACUCUGACGCAGUGACGCCGCGUAUAGGAAGAAGGUUUUCGGAUCGUAAACUAUUGUCGUUAGGGAAGAUACAAGACAGUACCUAAGGAGGAAGCUCCGGCUAACUACGUGCCAGCAGCCGCGGUAAUACGUAGGGAGCAAGCGUUAUCCGGAUUUAUUGGGUGUAAAGGGUGCGUAGACGGGAAAGCAAGUUAGUUGUGAAAUCCCUCGGCUUAACUGGGGAACUGCAACUAAAACUACUUUUCUUGAGUGUUGGAGAGGAAAGUGGAAUUCCUAGUGUAGCGGUGAAAUGCGUAGAUAUUAGGAGGAACACCGGUGGCGAAGGCGACUUUCUGGACAAUAACUGACGUUGAGGCACGAAAGUGUGGGGAGCAAACAGGAUUAGAUACCCUGGUAGUCCACACCGUAAACGAUGGAUACUAGGUGUAGGGAACAUUAAGUUUUCUGUGCCGUCGCAAACGCAAUAAGUAUCCCACCUGGGGAGUACGGCCGCAAGGUUGCAACU